CCUACGGGUGGCUGCAGUCGAGGAUCUUCGGCAAUGGGCGCAAGCCUGACCGAGCGACGCCGCGUGGGCGAUGAAGGCCUUCGGGUUGUAAAGCCCUGUCGAGGGGGAGGAAGCCGCAAGGUUGACCGACCCCUGGAGGAAGCACGGGCUAAGUUCGUGCCAGCAGCCGCGGUAAGACGAACCGUGCGAACGUUGUUCGGAAUCACUGGGCUUAAAGGGCGCGUAGGCGGCGUCUCAAGUCCGGGGUGAAAGCCCCCAGCUUAACUGGGGAAGGG
Molecule: ribosomal RNA, 275 nt
Filed under: uncultured bacterium
Lineage: Bacteria
Description: partial 16S ribosomal RNA
Rfam family: Bacterial small subunit ribosomal RNA
Source: RNAcentral